AUACGGAGGAUGCAAGCGUUAUCCGGAAUCAUUGGGUUUAAAGGGUCCGUAGGCGGGCAAUUAAGUCAGGGGUGAAAGUUUGCGGCUCAACCGUAAAAUUGCCUUUGAUACUGGUUGUCUUGAAUUAGUGUGAAGUGGUUAGAAUGAGUAGUGUAGCGGUGAAAUGCAUAGAUAUUACUCAGAAUACCGAUUGCGAAGGCAGAUCACUAACACUAUAUUGACGCUGAUGGACGAAAGCGUGGGGAGCGAACAGGAUUAGAUACCCUGGUAGUCCACGCCGUAAACGAUGGAUACUAGCUGUUCGAUCUUCGGAUUGAGUGGCCAAGCGAAAGUGAUAAGUAUCCCACCUGGGGAGUACGUUCGCAAGAAUGAA
Molecule: ribosomal RNA, 373 nt
Filed under: uncultured bacterium
Lineage: Bacteria
Description: bacterial SSU rRNA
Rfam family: Bacterial small subunit ribosomal RNA
Source: RNAcentral